CAAAAAAUAUUCCUCCAAGUCCCCACCUCUCGCCUUGAUGCUGCAUAUAGUAUUAACAAUCAACAUGAAACCAAUCAAAGAGUCAUUUUUAAGCAAAUUUCAAGUUAAAACAAAUUUUUGGAAAAUAAAUACUGAAGCAGACAAAAAGUUAUCUAGUAAAAUUUUAGAAGAAACAACCACAAAUUAUUCUUGGUUAACACAGGGAGCUAAAAAGCAGGUCUAGUCGGAGCAAUCACUUAGGCUUGUGCAUUGUUGAGACUAGGCUUUUUGUAGUUACAUAGAAAACAUUAAUGGAACCUCAUACAAUUUCAACAUUUUCUUUUCUAAAAUAUCAUGAAAUUUUAGACAAAAGUAAAUUUCAGUUUGAAUGUGAGAAACAUAUGAGCAGAUCCAAAUAGCACCUAAUUGUAAUUUUCCAUUUUCCCUCACCCCCAAUGUAUUACACACAAAAAUAAAAUAAAACAAAAUAAAGAAAGACUAAGUAGGGACAGUCAUAUGAUAGGGGCAUUUCUACAAUAAACUUCAACAAUCAGAAUUUCAAUGAAUCCAAACUCCAAAAAUGUCUAACAUGAUACUUACCUUAAUAGAAAUAGUCAUCACACCACUU
This 607-nucleotide unclassified non-coding RNA is filed under the name Hevea brasiliensis (rubber tree). Lineage: Eukaryota; Viridiplantae; Streptophyta; Magnoliopsida; Malpighiales; Euphorbiaceae. The record is from RNAcentral.